Non-coding RNA from Pelobates cultripes (western spadefoot toad), 750 nucleotides. Lineage: Eukaryota; Metazoa; Chordata; Amphibia; Anura; Pelobatidae. The record is from the annotation of a GenBank genome assembly.
AUGACAGAUACAUAAUUACAAUCUUAAACAAUGUGACAGAUUUAUAGUGUGGACACAGUUACCAUAUAAUUUCAUUCUUGUUCUGCUGCACAUUUUGUUGCUUGCUGAGGUUUUCGCCCAAACUGGGAGAGGCUUGUUUUAUUAAGUAUGAUAACACCUUGAAAAUAAGCAGUAUGCUUUUAAACAAAUUAAAUCUCAAAUGAGCAAUGGUACGUUACUGUCCAAGAGGCAGUUUGCUGACCUUGAAUACACAACGUUAAAGGAACAUUAACGUCAGUAGAUAUGAGAAAAGUCAAUACUUACACUUCCAGAGAAAUUAAAUAAAAACAAUUCUUGUACCCCAUCAUUUCCCAGCAUGACAGCAGAUUUUCAGUUGGGCCAAAGCACUCAGAAAAUCAAAUUAGCCCCUAAAAUCUGCAUUGUUGUGUAGGCCUAGUGAGUUUAUUCUAGUUGAUUUUAGAGCAACGGCGAUAUUAAAGGACCACUAUAUUCACCCAGACCACUUCAGCUCAAUGAAGUGGUCUGGGUGCCAGGUCCCCUAGGUUUAAACCCUUCAGAUGUACACAUAGCAGUUUCAGAGAAUGCUAUGUUUACAUUGCAGGGUUAAUCCAGCCUCUAGUGGCUGUCUUCCUGACAGCCGCUAGAGGCGCUUCUGCAACACUGAAUGCGAAAAUCGCAUUCAGCGUGCAGAACGUCCAUAGGAAAGCAUGAAAUGAGCAUGAGAAAUGCUUUUCUAUGGGUGUUUUUAAG